Molecule: ribosomal RNA, 253 nt
Filed under: uncultured bacterium
Lineage: Bacteria
Description: partial 16S ribosomal RNA
Rfam family: Bacterial small subunit ribosomal RNA
Source: RNAcentral
GACGAAGGAUCCAAGCGUUAUCCGGAUUUAUUGGGCUUAAAGGGUGCGUAGGCGGAUUGAUAAGUCAGUGGUGAAAGCCUGCAGCUUAACUGCAGAACUGCCAUUGAUACUGUCAAUCUUGAAUGUGGUUGAUGUGGGCGGAAUAUGACAUGUAGCGGUGAAAUGCUUAGAUAUGUCAUAGAACACCGAUUGCGAAGGCAGCUCACAAAGCCAUUAUUGACGCUGAGGCACGAAAGCGUGGGGAUCAAACAGG